This 497-nucleotide ribosomal RNA is filed under the name uncultured bacterium. Its description in RNAcentral is "bacterial SSU rRNA". It matches the Rfam family "Bacterial small subunit ribosomal RNA", at positions 29 to 525 of the family's 1533-position model. The record is from RNAcentral.
AUUGAACGCUGGCGGAAUGCUUUACACAUGCAAGUCGAGCGGCAGCGCGGGGCAACCUGGCGGCGAGCGGCGAACGGGUGAGUAACACAUCGGAACGUGCCCAGACGUGGGGGAUAGCCCGGCGAAAGCCGGAUUAAUACCGCAUACGAUCUGAGGAUGAAAGCGGGGGAUCGCAAGACCUCGCGCGUUUGGAGCGGCCGAUGGCAGAUUAGGUAGUUGGUGGGGUAAAGGCUUACCAAGCCUGCGAUCUGUAGCUGGUCUGAGAGGAUGAUCAGCCACACUGGGACUGAGACACGGCCCAGACUCCUACGGGAGGCAGCAGCGGGGAAUUUUGGACAAUGGGCGCAAGCCUGAUCCAGCCAUUCCGCGUGCAGGACGAAGGCCUUCGGGUUGUAAACUGCUUUGUACGAACGAAAGACCUUCUCUAAUACAGAGGGGUCAUGACGGUACCGUAAGAAUAAGCACCGGCUAACUACGUGCCAGCAGCCGCGGUAAAC